Molecule: long non-coding RNA, 391 nt
Organism: Tympanuchus pallidicinctus (lesser prairie-chicken)
Lineage: Eukaryota; Metazoa; Chordata; Aves; Galliformes; Phasianidae
Exons: 4
Source: RefSeq, a predicted model, not a curated record
CUGCAGCCACAAGCACUUGCAGGACUGCAGCGUGCCAGCUGCAGCCAUCCUACUGCCCUGCUUUCACCUUCUCACUGGCACUUUCUUAUUUUGAGAGUUUGGAGAAUUGGUCUCCUAGCCAAAACGCUGAGUGAUGCCAGUUCCCGGGGGAAGGAAGGAGGGACAGAAGGAAAGGAGAGUGCCUCUGAACGCUGAGGGCAUGAGCAUUUCUCUCCUCCGGUUCUGGGAGAGGAAAUUCUGCAAACCAAAUGUGAACUCAGGAAAGGGAGGUACUAGCAAACUUGCUGUGCCAAAGGCAAACACAAAAGGCUCACCUCUGCAGCUGUACCCGACUGAACAAUGCCAGCUAAUAGAGGAGCACGGUGCCAGCCUCAUACAGAGUGGUACGGGG